UACGUAGGCAGCGAGCGUUGUUCGGAAUUACUGGGCGUAAAGAGUGUGUAGGCGGUGCUCCCAGUCUGUUGUGAAAUCUCCCGGCUUAACUGGGAGGGUGCAGCGGAAACUAGAGUGCUAGAGGGUGGGAGAGGUAAGCGGGAUUCCUGGUGUAGCGGUGAAAUGCGUAGAUAUCAGGAGGAACACCUGUGGUGUAGACAGCUUACUGGACCACUUCUGACGCUGAGACACGAAAGCGUGGGUAGCAAACAGG
RNAcentral lists this ribosomal RNA (253 nucleotides) under uncultured bacterium. RNAcentral describes it as "partial 16S ribosomal RNA". It matches the Rfam family "Bacterial small subunit ribosomal RNA", at positions 524 to 776 of the family's 1533-position model. The record is from RNAcentral.